AUAGUAGUGUCAGAGUUUUGAUCCUGGCUCAGGAUGAACGCUAGCUACAGGCUUAACACAUGCAAGUCGAGGGGCAGCGGGGUGUCAGCUUGCUGACACUGCCGGCGACCGGCGCACGGGUGCGUAACGCGUAUCCAAUCUACCCAUGGCUCGGGGAUUAGCCUUCUGAAAGGAAGAUUAAUACCCGAUGGUCUUGCUGAGGGGCAUCUCUCGGCAAGUAAAGAUUCAUCGGCGAUGGAUGAGGAUGCGACUGAUUAGGUAGUUGGUGGGGUAACGGCCCACCAAGCCAUCGAUCAGUAGGGGUUCUGAGAGGAAGGUCCCCCACAUUGGAACUGAGACACGGUCCAA
RNAcentral lists this ribosomal RNA (348 nucleotides) under uncultured bacterium. Its description in RNAcentral is "bacterial SSU rRNA". It matches the Rfam family "Bacterial small subunit ribosomal RNA", at positions 1 to 334 of the family's 1533-position model. The record is from RNAcentral.